AUGAGAGCCAGCCUCUGUUCGUCUCAUGUCGCAACGGUCUUCCCAACCAGACCAGAGCGGGGCUCCUGCAGGUACACUUCGGCCUCGUGCCCUGAGGGCCUCCCCGGGUCCGCCCGCCCAGCGUGGGGGCACACAGUCUGCGGGUGUCUGGCACCUGAUGUGGAGACAUCCUUUGCCUGCAGGGCCCAUGGGCAUCAUGGUGCCCCGUGGUGGCCAUCCAGGACCUCAGUCCUCCUGCACAUGAGUCUACAUCACCCCCUCCAGUGCUGGACUAUGCAGCAGCGCGAGCCGAAUACAUUCUCUCCGUGCUCACAGACAGAAAGCUCCAGCAAACACUGGGGAGAACUGGCAGAAUUCCUGUGGCUCCAAACAGUGGUGUAGAGAUGAACUAGCUACACUCCAUACACUCCUCUACACAGUGAUCAUCAUGGUUAUCCUAAUGGCAAUUUGGGGAGCCUGGGCAAGGAAAGACGCCUACUCAUAGCUGCAAAAUGCUGUCUUUGAUAAAAACUUAGAGACACUCAUGAGGAUUAAAAAUACAAAGGAAGGGUCAUAACUCAUGGUCUUUGCAAAUUAUAGCUCAUCUUUAAUUUAAAGGCAGAACUGCUUCUGCCAGUGGAUUUGAACCAGUGAACCCACUUCGUGGACAAAGUACAGAACACAACUUCAAUGAGAAAGUGGAAUAUUAGUAAUGUAACACUGUUCAGUGUAACAUAUGUAAAUGAAACUGUAUGUUAAAUACAGUCUGAUGGGGGGAAUGUGAUUAAUACUUUUGCUGGUCAAAAUAUUUUUACAUCUGUCCCACUUUCCAUUUUUGACUUGAGUUGCUCGUUUGCUUGUUGUUUUAUAUUAUAGCAGGGAGUUGUGAUAAUGCUGGAGGGGGCCUACCUGAUUAUGAGCAAGCAAAGACCUCUGAUCUAGCUGAGUUCCCAACUCAGUUGCUAGAGAGAAGCGUUGUAGUUUGAGUUAUGUAGUUCUGUUUGAUUUUAUGUUUAUGUAAACAUCUCUUUUUGUUAAAAUCUGCACAGCCUCAGGAAUAAACUGUGGGGAAAACUAUAUUUGUAAGAGUCU
Molecule: long non-coding RNA, 1071 nt
Filed under: Chrysemys picta bellii (western painted turtle)
Lineage: Eukaryota; Metazoa; Chordata; Testudines; Emydidae
Description: lncRNA (ENSCPBG00000011617.1)
Source: RNAcentral